UACGGGGGGGGCAAGCGUUGUUCGGAAUUACUGGGCGUAAAGGGCUCGUAGGUGGCCAACUAAGUCAGACGUGAAAUCCCUCGGCUUAACCGGGGAACUGCGUCUGAUACUGGAUGGCUUGAGUUCGGGAGAGGGAUGCGGAAUUCCAGGUGUAGCGGUGAAAUGCGUAGAUAUCUGGAGGAACCCCGGUGGCGAAGGCGGCAUCCUGGACCGACACUGACACUGAGGAGCGAAAGCCAGGGGAGCAAACGGG
Molecule: ribosomal RNA, 253 nt
Filed under: uncultured bacterium
Lineage: Bacteria
Description: partial 16S ribosomal RNA
Rfam family: Bacterial small subunit ribosomal RNA
Source: RNAcentral